AAUUUUUUAAAAUCAUGUAACAUGGUUUUAUAACAAGGAAGACACAAAUCUUUCAUUUUUAAAGCAAAAAAACCUGAUUGUUGAAAUGUUUUCUACCUAAAGCUUCAACAAUCACCUAUGUAGUUAAGAACUACAGUGUUUGAAACUUUAUUCAUGUUUCUUGGCUCUAAUAUUGAUAUUUGUUAUUCUGAACAUUCAGAUUCCCAGCCGAAAUUAUCACAGCAGCUUUAUUUGAAACAACUCAUAUUAUCCAUAUUUUCAGAUUACAUAAUUAAAAGUUAAAGAAGUUUAGUAAUUUCUGUAAGUUUACAUAUCUAAUAAAUGGUGGAGAACAAGGUCACAAUCUGGCUGUCUGAUUCAAAAACCCCUACUCUACUUGUACUGGGAUUCCUGAUUCCAUUGGAGACAGUGGGCUCCCUAGAAUUCUGUUAUUUUAUAAGAUUCAAUAUUGAGAGACACCCAGACCUCCCACAUACACCUGAGGCACACCACGAUCUUUCUUAAAGUAUUGUUGCUUAUGGCUUGAAUGUCUUAGAGUGUGGAAGUGAAAUAAUAGUGAGGAGAUUUCAUGGUUUUGAAAAAUGUGGGGAUGAUGAUUUGUUUAAGGAUUAUAGAGUUUAAUUUUGAAAAGGGUAGAGUGGGUAUAAUCCCACUGGAGAAGGUAUUAUUUAUGUAUGUGGAAUUUUUUUUUUUCAAUUAAAGGAAGAAACUAAUAGAGACUACAGCUUCCCAGCUGGCCUAGAAGACCAUAUUUUGGGGGAGAAUAUAUCGCCUAACACAAGUAUCUCAGGGUUGGUCCCCAGUGAACUUACCCAGAGCAACACAAGUCUUGGCAGUAGCAGCAGUAGUGGAGAUGUAGGAAAACUGCAUUAUCCAACAGGUGAAGUUCCAUUUCCAAGAGGCAUGAAAGGGCAAGACUUUGAAAAAUCAGAUCAUGGUUCUUCUCAAAAUACCAGCAUGUCUAGCAUCUAUCAGAAUUGUGCAAUGGAGGUAAAAGUUCUAUAUUCAGUUCAUGAUAAAGUAGCUGUAAGCAUAUUUUUAUUUCAGAAUGGCAUUUAACAGGAUUCUAAGAUACCCUUGUGGACAGUAUAAUAAAAUAAGUCAUUUUGUUGAAUUUGCUUGAUGUCUUAUGUAAGUAAGACAUUGAACUGGUAGUUUACCUGUGAAAUAAAAGAACUGUUAUUAAUAAUUCCAAAUUUGAUCAGUAGAAU
Molecule: long non-coding RNA, 1211 nt
Filed under: Homo sapiens (human)
Lineage: Eukaryota; Metazoa; Chordata; Mammalia; Primates; Hominidae
Description: HSALNT0147226
Source: RNAcentral